UUAUGGCCAUAUAACGUUGAAACACCAGGUCUCGAAUGAUCACCGAAGUUAAGCAACGCCCAAACUGGUCAGUAUCCAGAUGGGUUACCGCUUGGGAAUACCAUGUGCUGUAAG
This is a non-coding RNA of Acanthosepion pharaonis, 114 nucleotides long. The record is from the annotation of a GenBank genome assembly. NCBI's taxonomy places the organism in Eukaryota, Metazoa, Mollusca, Cephalopoda, Sepiida, Sepiidae.